Molecule: transfer RNA, 83 nt
Filed under: Canis lupus familiaris (dog)
Lineage: Eukaryota; Metazoa; Chordata; Mammalia; Carnivora; Canidae
Also listed under: 1 other name
Rfam family: tRNA
About the family: Transfer RNA (tRNA) molecules are approximately 80 nucleotides in length. Their secondary structure includes four short double-helical elements and three loops (D, anti-codon, and T loops).
Source: Rfam by way of RNAcentral
ACCUGGUUGGCUCAAUGGUUGAGCGUCUGCCUUUGGAUCAGAUCAUGAUUCUGGGGUCCUGAGAUCAAAUCCCAUAUCAGGCU